This is a long non-coding RNA of Cyprinus carpio carpio, 1910 nucleotides long. NCBI's taxonomy places the organism in Eukaryota, Metazoa, Chordata, Actinopteri, Cypriniformes, Cyprinidae. The record is from Ensembl.
AAAAAAAAAAACACAUUAAAGAAAGUAUAAAUCAAUAAAGACUUCGUCUCUGGACGUAACACCCCCACCCAUAGUUACAAACUAUGAUUUCUCUUGGUUUGUAAAAGAGAAAAACAAAACUUACCACACAUUUUAUGAGCGUUUAGUCAUCAGUAUGAGCCCUUGAUAAAGCAUCUGCUACUACAUUGUCCACUCCUUUUUUAUACCUUAUCUCAAGAACAAACUCUUGCAGAAUAAGAGACCAUCUCAUUAAUCUCUGGUUUGAGUUUGCCAUACGAGACAGGAAGACGAGAGGGUUGUGAUCAGUGUAUACAAUGAUAGGGCCCAUACUACCAUUACACAAGUAGACCUCAAAAUUCUGCAGUGCCAACAACAAGGCGAGAGCUUCCUUUUCGAUGGUACUGUAGUUUCUUUGGCACCUGGUGAAUUUCUUCGAAAAAUAGCAAAGUUCUUACAAAAGCCACGGUAGUACCCUGUCAUCCCCAGAAAACGGCGUAACUCCCGCUUGUUACAUGGCCGUGGGAAAUCCAUAAUAGCCUCUAUCUUAGCUUGCACAGGCCUCACUUGGCCCUGGCCAACUAAUUUGCCGAGGUAGGUCACUCUUGCCUUAGCAAAUUCACACUUAGCUAAGUUUAAGGUAAGAUGGGAUUCCAGCAAUCGUUUAAACACCAACUCAAGAGUUUGUGCAUGUUCUUCCCACGUUGCAGAGUAGAUAACUAUGUCGUCUAAGUACACUUCACAGUUAGGCACACCUGACAGUACCUUCAGCAUCAACCGCUGGAAUGUUGCUGGUGCAUUUCGCAUGCCAAAAGCCAUAGAUGUGUACUGUAAGAAACAAUCGGGGGUCACAAACGCUGAGAUUUCUGAGGCACGGGGUGUCAAAGGAACUUGCCAGUAUCCUUUUAAUAAAUCUAGCUUUGUAACAAAGCUAGCUGAUCCCACUCGGUCAACACAGUCCUCAAUUCGAGGAAGAGGAAAGGAAUCAGGCUUAGUUACAGAAUUCACCUUCCUGAAAUCAGUACAAAAUCGCCACGAUCCAUCAGGUUUGGGUACAAGCAAGCACGGUGAACUCCACGGACUUUGACUUGGCACUGCAAAGCCGUGAGUCAACAAAUAUUCUACCUCAGUUUUCAUAACCUGGCGCUUAUUGGGAUUUGCACGGUACGGAUGCUGUUUAAUAGGCCUGCAUUCACCAACAUCAAUAUCAUGAGUGACCUCGGUAGUUUGUGAUGGUACAUCAUUAAACAGCAUAUGAUACUUUUCAAUUAGCUGGACCACACGAUCACACUGGGAUGCAGGCAGAUACGAUAGAUGUGACUGCAAGUUAGACAAGAUGGCAGAGUUAGACAGUGUACCACAUGAAGCAAUGGCAUCUUUACUCCAAAGACCAUCUAAAUCAGGAGUGUACACAGGAGACAAGUUAACAGCAGUGUUAGCAACAACAGGAAGAAGGUCAACAGGAUCAUGCUGAGACUUAACACCAUCUCUACUAAUGUAAGCCUUAAGCAUAUUGAUGUGGCACACACGAGUCUUACGCUUACGAUCGGGAGUAGAAACUGCAUAAUUUGUGUCAUUCAACUUCUCAAUCUGAUAAGGUCCAGAAAAUCUUGCCUGCAGAGGUGAGCCAGGCAGAGGAAGCAGUAUUAAGACCUUGUCACCAGGCUGGAAAUUACGCUGAAGACUACCCUUGUCAUAGCGAAGUUUCAUUUUGGACUGGGCUUCAGCAAGAUGAACUCUAGCUAACUCCCACGCUUUGUGUAGAUGCUCCCGUACAGUACUCACAUAGUCUAGCGCAGACUUACGAGGAGAUUCCCUAGCUAGAAACUGCUCACUUAGAAGUUUUAAUGGGCCACGAACUGAAUGGCCAAAAACCAGCUCAGCAGGGCUAAAUCCCAGGGAUUCUUGAACGG